GCUAUCGGAUGAGCCUAUGUCGGAUUAGCUGGUUGGUGAGGUAAUGGCUCACCAAGGCGACGAUCCGUAGCUGGUCUGAGAGGAUGAUCAGCCACAUCGGGACUGAGACACGGCCCGAACUCCUACGGGAGGCAGCAGUGGGGAAUAUUGGACAAUGGGCGCAAGCCUGAUCCAGCCAUGCCGCGUGUGUGAAGAAGGCCUUCGGGUUGUAAAGCACUUUCAGUGGGGAAGAAGGCCUUUCGGUGAAUAGCCGGGAGGAGCGACAUCACCCACAGAAGAAGC
RNAcentral lists this ribosomal RNA (282 nucleotides) under uncultured Halomonas sp. RNAcentral describes it as "partial 16S ribosomal RNA". It matches the Rfam family "Bacterial small subunit ribosomal RNA", at positions 217 to 491 of the family's 1533-position model. Lineage: Bacteria; Pseudomonadati; Pseudomonadota; Gammaproteobacteria; Oceanospirillales; Halomonadaceae. The record is from RNAcentral.